This 301-nucleotide ribosomal RNA is filed under the name uncultured bacterium. RNAcentral describes it as "partial 16S ribosomal RNA". It matches the Rfam family "Bacterial small subunit ribosomal RNA", at positions 509 to 808 of the family's 1533-position model. The record is from RNAcentral.
CAGCCGCCGCGGUAAUACGUAGGUGGCAAGCGUUGUCCGGAAUUAUUGGGCGUAAAGCGCGCGCAGGUGGUUUAAUAAGUCUGACGUGAAAGCCCCCGGCUUAACUGGGGAGGGUCAUUGGAAACUGGGAGACUUAGAGUGCAGAAGAGGAGAGUGGAAUUCCAUGUGUAGCGGUGAAAUGCGUAGAGAUGUGGAGGAACACCAGUGGCGAAGGCGACUCUCUGGUCUGUAACUGACGCUGAGGAGCGAAAGCGUGGGGAGCGAACAGGAUUAGAGACCCCUGUAGUCCCUGUCUCUUAUU